ACAUUAAGUUUGUCAAAGGGGCAAAUGUAAAACAUUGAUUUAAAUUAAUCUUAAAAAUAAUUAAAUAUUUUUAGAAUUGCAUGAGCUUAUACUAUAAAGUGAUCAAAUCAUAUUCCUUUUUAUUACUUACAAAAAGAGAAAAAUAUGGUUAAGAUUCAUAAGUUUAUUUCUGUUAUGAUUUUAUUUUUGUCCCUAAUCCUUCUUUCAAAAGAGAAUGAAGACCGACUUAAAUGUGUAUCCAAAGAUGACUGCCCACCAAUUCGUCACUUGUAUCCUUUAGUUUAUAAGUGCAUUAAAAACUUAUGUGAAGCUUUUAGAAUUACAAGAAUUGAACGUCCAAAAAAAUACAUAGACACCGUGCAAGGAAGAAUUAUCCUAUAAUAUUUCUACACACUAUCUGGUCACUAUUAUAAACAACGAUAAAAAAUUUAGAUUUAUUAAACAAUUGAAGUAUUUGAUAUAUAUAAUAAUGACUAAAUACAUUACUUAUUCAAUAAAUUUAAAAAAUAUUUUGUUGUUUAUAAUAAUGACGCAAGGGUGUAUGAUUUGUCAUUUAAGUUUCAUGUUGCCAUCCAAUAAUUAAACUUCUAAGCUUUUUUUUUUUGUUUUUUUUUUAAUUUUAUAUUUUUGAUAUUAUGGAUUUGUACUCUUAAAUAUUAUAAUAAUGAAAUAAAAUAUGGCACUAAAUAAUAUUAUAAUUA
Molecule: long non-coding RNA, 701 nt
Organism: Vicia villosa (hairy vetch)
Lineage: Eukaryota; Viridiplantae; Streptophyta; Magnoliopsida; Fabales; Fabaceae
Exons: 2
Source: RefSeq, a predicted model, not a curated record